This 231-nucleotide ribosomal RNA is filed under the name uncultured bacterium. RNAcentral's name for it is "partial 16S ribosomal RNA". It matches the Rfam family "Bacterial small subunit ribosomal RNA", at positions 106 to 334 of the family's 1533-position model. The record is from RNAcentral.
CGGGCGGAACACGUACGCAACCUUCCUUCAAGCGGGGGAGUAGCCCAGGAGAAAUUUGGAUUAAUACCCAUAGGAAUGUGGUCUCGCAUGAGACGAGCAUUUAAAGAUUUAUCACUUGAAGAUGGGCGUGCGUCUGAUUAGGUAGUUGGUGAGGUAACGGCUCACCAAGCCGACGAUCAGUAACUGGCGUGAGAGCGCGACCAGUCACACGGGCACUGAGACACGGGCCCG